CCUACGGGUGGCAGCAGUGAGGAAUAUUGGUCAAUGGACGAGAGUCUGAACCAGCCACGUAGCGUGAAGGAUGACUGCCCUAUGAGUUGUAAACUUCUUUUAUAUGGGAAUAAAACGUUCCACGUGUGGGAUUUUGUAUGUACCAUAUGAAUAAGGAUAGGCUAACUCCGUGCCAGCAGCCGCGGUAAUACGGAGGAUCCGAGCGUUAUCCGGAUUUAUUGGGUUUAAAGGGAGCGUAGGUGGAUUGUUAAGUCAGUUGUGAAAGUUUGCGGCUCAACCGUAAAAGUGCAGUUGAAACUGGCAGUCUUGAGUACAGUAGAGGUGGGCGGAAUUCGUGGUGUAGCGGUGAAAUGCUUAGAUAUCACGAAGAACUCCGAUUGCGAAGGCAGUUCACUGGACUGCAACUGACACUGAGGCUCGAAAGUGUGGGUAUCAAACAGGAUUAGAUACCCUGGUAGUC
Molecule: ribosomal RNA, 460 nt
Filed under: uncultured bacterium
Lineage: Bacteria
Description: partial 16S ribosomal RNA
Rfam family: Bacterial small subunit ribosomal RNA
Source: RNAcentral